Molecule: long non-coding RNA, 384 nt
Organism: Contarinia nasturtii (swede midge)
Lineage: Eukaryota; Metazoa; Arthropoda; Insecta; Diptera; Cecidomyiidae
Exons: 2
Source: RefSeq, a predicted model, not a curated record
AAUGUGAAACGUCUUCAACAAAAACCAAUACACAGAUUAAUGUACACAUUAAAUAUUCACAUAAAGCCGUAAUUCGUACAUACACAUAAUAUAAACUACACUCGCAACAAGAUCAACGAAAUUGAUGAUGGCAACAUUUACGCGAUGUGGUGGCAGUUCUGCAAGUGCGACGUGUUUGUCAACUUCAUAAAGAAAACGAAUUGAAUAUCUCUCUCUGGAAAAAGAAAUAUGAAUACGCUUGCAGAAAUUCGUCACAGGCAUUAAAAUAGUCGUAGGUGGAAUUGGCGCACGCACAUAAAAACUCAUGAAAUUUAAACAGCAGAUAAAAAAUCGCAUCAAACAUGAACAAAAGAAGCUAAUCCACAAAGCAAGGUGUAAAUAAAA